RNAcentral lists this transfer RNA (73 nucleotides) under Pteropus alecto (black flying fox). It matches the Rfam family "tRNA". From Rfam's summary of the family: Transfer RNA (tRNA) molecules are approximately 80 nucleotides in length. Their secondary structure includes four short double-helical elements and three loops (D, anti-codon, and T loops). The record is from Rfam by way of RNAcentral. Lineage: Eukaryota; Metazoa; Chordata; Mammalia; Chiroptera; Pteropodidae.
GGCUCCAUAGUGUAGUGGUUAGCACAUCUGCUUUAUACACAGAGGUCCUGCGUUCGCGCCCCAGGUGGAGCCA